RNAcentral lists this signal recognition particle RNA (294 nucleotides) under Neogale vison (American mink). Its description in RNAcentral is "Neovison vison (American mink) Metazoan signal recognition particle RNA (ENSNVIG00000009762.1)". It matches the Rfam family "Metazoan signal recognition particle RNA". From Rfam's summary of the family: The signal recognition particle (SRP) is a universally conserved ribonucleoprotein. It is involved in the co-translational targeting of proteins to membranes. The record is from RNAcentral. Lineage: Eukaryota; Metazoa; Chordata; Mammalia; Carnivora; Mustelidae.
GCCGGGCGCGGUGGCGUACGCCUGUAGUCCCAGCUACUCGGGAGGCUGAGGCAGGAGGAUCGCUUGAGCCCAGGAGUUCUGGGCUGUAGUGCGCUAUGCCGAUCGGGUGUCCGCACUAAGUUCGGCAUCAAUAUGGUGACCUCCCGGGAGCGGGGGACCACCAGGUUGCCUAAGGAGGGGUGAACCGGCCCAGGUCGGAAACGGAGCAGGUCAAAAAAUUUACUUCAUUCUAAAAGUCAUAACAAAACUGUAAUAUCAUCAUUAAUAACAUCUGAUAAAAAGCAAGUAUUUUCA